Actinia tenebrosa (Australian red waratah sea anemone) is the source of this 1006-nucleotide long non-coding RNA. RefSeq lists it as uncharacterized. The record is from RefSeq and is a predicted model, not a curated record. NCBI's taxonomy places the organism in Eukaryota, Metazoa, Cnidaria, Anthozoa, Actiniaria, Actiniidae.
UCUUAUUCUAUUUAAUCAACUUGCCUUGGAUUAUGUGCGAGCACUGAAGACGACAUGUUGGGAGUUAUUUGAGUGGCAGGUGUUACUCAAUGGUUUCGAGACAUCAGGUAACUUGAAAGGAAAAACAUUCAGUUCUGGCCAUGAAAUCUCGCUGAAUCAAACCAUCAAGGUUUAAUCCAACUAGAAAAAACGUUAUUCUGGCAAAGAUAACGAUUGCCGACUGGAAAAAUAUAUGUAAUUCUACCAAAAACAAGAUCAAUCAAUGACAAAUCAUGGAAGAAUUUGAAAUUCCGCUGCCACCAAAUAUGAGCCCAAGCCAACGCCGCAAAGCUACCGACCACCAAACAAUCCAAGAAGAAUCAUCAUCAAAAGGCGACUCCGAAAACACCCUAUCGCAAUCACCACGAACCGCAGGACCUCUUACUAAACGAUGGUUCCGUGAGCAGUUUGGGUUAAGAAAAGGAAAUAAAAACCCCAAAAUAAUUGAGCCGAGCGACGAGAGGCCAAAAAGACAACCCGGUCUUAGACGAACAAGCUCACUACCCGACCUCGCGUCUUUGCUAGAGGCUGCAUCGGUUAAAGGAGUUAAAGUUAGUACGCUAGGUAGACAUCGAUCCAUGAGAGAAAACCGACCUGUUAGCUCUAUAAUAGCAAAAUGAAGAACUGAUUCUUCAUACAGACGGAAGUAGAUAUAUAGAUAGAAGCAUGGACAUUCAAAAGCGAAGACUUGAAGUGUGACAGCUGAGGCACACGGCAAAUGUUUUUUCAGCAUAGGAGGGCUGUGAAAUAUAGCUUUUUUUGGGGGGAGGGAGAAUCAUCGAAUGCAAUCUUCACAGCCAGUCAAUACCAGAUCGGUUAAGAUAAACUGACGGACAGACAGAAAGACAGAUCUGGACGUGAAUAUGAUCGAGACGUCUGUGUAAGACAGGGGAGCAGCGGCUCUUAGACCUAACCUUGGGCGUUAAAUGUUUUCCCUUUUCAGACCACGUUUAUUCACUCGAGAAUA